RNAcentral lists this ribosomal RNA (489 nucleotides) under uncultured bacterium. RNAcentral describes it as "bacterial SSU rRNA". It matches the Rfam family "Bacterial small subunit ribosomal RNA", at positions 29 to 526 of the family's 1533-position model. The record is from RNAcentral.
AAUGAACGUUGGCGGCGUGGAUUAGGCAUGCAAGUCGUGCGAUGAAGCAGUGCUUGCACUGUGAAUUAGCGGCGAAAGGGAGAGUAACGCGUGGAUACGUACCCUCAGGCCUGGGAUAGCGUCGGGAAACUGGCGGUAAUACCGGAUAAUGUCCCUGGACCAAAGGUGUGAUUCCGCCUGAGGAGCGGUCCGCGUCCUAUUAGGUAGUUGGUGGGGUAAUGGCCUACCAAGCCAAAGAUGGGUACCGGGUGUGAGAGCAUGGCCCGGCUCACUGGGACUGAGACACUGCCCAGACACCUACGGGUGGCUGCAGUCGAGAAUCUUCCGCAAUGGACGCAAGUCUGACGGAGCGACGCCGCGUGCGGGAUGAAGGCCUUCGGGUUGUAAACCGCUGUCAGAGAGGCGGAAAUGCAUGGUGGCUAUCCAUCAUGUUUGACCUAAUCUCAGAGGAAGCGCAGGCUAAGUUCGUGCCAGCCGCCGCCGUAACAC